AUGCAGAGUUGUAGUCUUACACACCUCUCUGCUGCUUCCUUAGAACCCUCAUCCACCAACAAUAACAUAUUUAACACGAUAGAGGUAGUCUCUGUUCCACGGUUAAAAGUUCACCAAGCACAGAGCAGGGGAGCGGUCAAUCACCAAAAUCUUAUUAAAAUUAAUACUGAAGCACAAGUUGGAGAAACUAAUAUCACAAUUAAGUGUGGACUGUUAAAUAUUAGAUCUCUUUUGUGUAAAUCCCUGUUCGUACACGACCUGAUAGCGGAUCAUCACAUUGAUUUAUUUUGUCUUACUGAGACCUGGCUUCAGGAGGAGGAGUAUGUUAGCUUAAAUGAAUCUACUCCUCCUACCCAUCUUAAUUAUCAUAUUCCACGUGUUACUGGUCGAGGAGGGGGAGUGGCAGCAAUCUAUCACUCCAAGUUAUUAAUUAAUCCCAGACCAAAACAUGGCUUCAGUUCAUUUGAAAGCCUGACUCUUGGCAUCACUCAUCUGAACUGGAGGACAGAAAAGCCACUUCUGUUUGUAGUUGUAUAUCGGCCCCCUGCUGGACUACAUUCAGAGUUCCUGUCUGAGUUCUCUGAUUUCUUAUCUGAUUUGGUCCUUAGAACGGACAAAGUCAUUAUCAUUGGAGACUUUAAUAUCCAUAUGGACGUUAUAAAUGACAGCUUUAGAAAUGGCUUCAUUUCAUUACUUGUGUCAGUUGGUUUCCUCCAGCAGAUAAACCAACCAACUCAUAGCUUUAACCACACCUUAGAUCUAGUCCUGAUUUAUGGUGUUGAGGUAGAACAUGUGUCAGUGUUCCCUCAGAACCCAGUCCUGUCAGACCAUUCUUUGAUCACUUUUACAUUUAUGAUUAAGGAUUCUUCUAUGCUCAGAACAAAGUCUUACUAUAGCAGAUGUCUCUCAGAUAAUGCUGUAGCUAAGUUUAAGGAAGUGAUCCCUGUGCUGAUCCCAGGACCACCGUGUGUUUCCCCAAGGGUAAAUCACUAUAAUCUUAGCCCUGCUGAGGUUGACUCUGUUGCUGAAGGUGCUGUUGCUGAGGUCCUGCCUCAGGUGGAGGAGUUCAAGUAUCUCAGGAUCUUGUUCACGAGUGAGGGUAGUAUGGAACGGGAGAUCGACAGGCGGAUUGGAGCGGCGUCUGCAGUGAUGCGGGCGCUUAACCGAUCUGCCAUGGGGAAGAAGGAGCUGAGCCGGAAGGCGAAGCACUCGAUUUACCGGUUGAUCUACGUCCCAAUCCUCACCUGUGGCCAUCAACGUUGGGUGAUGACUGAAAGUCAAGUUACCUUGAAAAAGAUUGAGGAGAUGCAGCAACAGCAGCAGCAGCUGAAGGUGGCAUGUAUUGCUGAAGCCAGAAAAACAGCAGAUGCCAGUGGACAAGCUGUCACUGUAUUAGUCGGCCAAAUACAGCUACUAACAGCAGUACUCACUCCAGUCCCCCACUCCCGUGGAGUUGCUGAAACCUCCAGAACCAAAGUGAGAGCUUCUAAGGAAGCCACGUACCCUGCCAAGCACGUUAUCACCCGUCUGACUGGCUGGACGUGUCUGUGGGUAACAGCGGAACAUAAGAGACAGUCUCCAGCCAGCGUCUCAUGCCAUGCUUUCUCAGAAUAG
This 1614-nucleotide long non-coding RNA is filed under the name Takifugu rubripes (torafugu). RNAcentral's name for it is "lncRNA (ENSTRUG00000026061.1)". The record is from RNAcentral. Lineage: Eukaryota; Metazoa; Chordata; Actinopteri; Tetraodontiformes; Tetraodontidae.